Molecule: ribosomal RNA, 254 nt
Filed under: uncultured bacterium
Lineage: Bacteria
Description: partial 16S ribosomal RNA
Rfam family: Bacterial small subunit ribosomal RNA
Source: RNAcentral
AACGUAGGAGGCGAGCGUCAUCCGGAUUUACUGGGCGUAAAGCGCGUGCAGGCGGUUUGGUAAGACGUGCGUGAAAGCUCCCAGGCUCAACCGGGAGAGGUCGUGCGAGACUGCCAGACUAGAGGUAGAGAGAGGCCAGUAGAAUUCCGGGUGUAGUGGUGAAAUGCGUAGAGAUCCGGAGGAAUACCAGAAGCGAAGGCGGCUGGCUGGCUCUAACCUGACGCUCAGACGCGAAAGCAUGGGGAGCGAACGGG